GCUAAUAUAAUGAGGAAUUAUAAUACAGCAACCAAACAUGUUCUUGGGAUAUGUUUUUCUGAACUAGAGAUGACAUCACUAGCAUCUGGUCUUUCUCUUUGAGACAGCUGAGAGAGUGAGGUGCCGUGAGAGAUGCAAUCGAUGGGGGGGUAGAGAGAGGUAGCCGACAGUGAGAAUGGUAAGGAAGAACGGAGCGUAGUGAGAUUAGUGGAUUGGUGAGGAAGAGCGUGAGGGAGAGAAUGAGAGAGCAUGUGUUGUGGUUGAGAAUGUUGCAAUUGAAAAUUUACUGUAACCUUUUAUGCUUGCCUCAAAACUCACCGUUUUGUGCUAACUGUUGUGCUCAAUGUUGUAAGAAUAUCGGAACUGUUAUAAAUUUGUUUCUAAAUAGAAAACUCUUUUGUGGAGUCAAUAUUUUGAAAACCAAAGUCUCGAGUUCUUUCUCGUGCGUGCCUGGCCAGCAUCCUAAACCUUACUGCUAGCCGGAGAAUGGCGUAAAACGGCGGCGAUCUUCUUCUUCAUCUUUUUCUCUCUGUCAUCGUUUCAGGUAACCUUGUGAUUAUGAGUUUCUUCUCUUUCUUAGCUUGCAAAAAUAGGUUUUGAUUUCUUUAAUUCGUAUUGUAGCCAUUAAUAUCAAUUUUUGUCCUGCCGGCAAUAUUUUUUUGUUCCUAGAGGUUGAAGCCCUUCUGUUCUUGUUCCAUUGGUGACUUUGCUCACUCAAAUUAAUUUUGUUCUGCAGAAUUUACAAAGUUCAAAUGGAUUCGUUUGGAUUACUAUUGAAUUUAGCUUUCAUUUCAACAUUCAUUCUAAUGUUUUACAAUUAUGUAUUUAGAUUUACUUUAAUUUUAUGUUUAAAGCUUCUGCAAUGAAUAGCUGAGCUUGGGUCUUAGUUUCAUUUUCUAAUUAACUUGUUUUAGUUUAUCUUAUAUGCUCACCAAGUGCUUGUUAUAUUGUCUGAUAGGUUAUAUAACAUUGCUGAUUCUAUAUUAAUAAUGUCAUGUUCCAUUUUCAGAAAUUAUAAUAUAAAAGUUUUUACAAUGGGGUGCAUCUACAAACUGAAUUGACUUGUAGAGUAAGAGCUUGGAGUAGUGUUGCAUUCUUGAAUAAAUGAAAGUUCAUAUUGUGUAAGAGCAUGUAGAUGUAAAGCAUCAUUACCAUUUCUACCAAGUGCUUUCAUUCCGUUCAGAUGCUCCACUUGAACUUUGGAAGGUGCCUCAUUCAAGUCCUAGCUAUAACUAAUAGCUCUGAUUAAUUAAGUUCAUGUGCUAGCUGAAACAGAUUUAAUUAAUUAAUUAAUUAAUUGUGUAUGUACUAAUUAUAUUGAAAGUAUAUGAAGAAAUUGUUUAACAUGAAUGACUUCUAAAUGACUUAAAAGCCUAGAGGAUAAGUGAAAUAAUGCUCAUUUCACUUGAAUGAGCCUAUUAAUACUUGUAUGUCUAUGAUUGUCAAUAUUGCUUAAGUGUUUCAGUUAAGUGGUUUACCUAGCAGGGAAAAAAAUUUAAUGGAAAACCUUAGAGUUUUAAUAGAAAUAUAGUUCACUAUGCAGAUAUAGUUAUUUUACGGUAUAUAAAUCAUGUUGUCCUAUUCUCAAUGUCCUACAACCUAUUUUAUUUUAUAUAGUCAUUCAUUUUUACGAUGGUUUUUUGUGUUUAUGAGUAUGGAAAUAGUGGGAUUUGGUGUACCUUAGCAUCUUUCGAAAAUUCUCUUUAAAUGCGGCAAACAAAAAUAUACAUAUAAUCAAGUUUCUUAAUCAUGUAUAUUAGGUUUGGGUACGAAUGUUUUCCUAUUCUAGUUCUAGGCCAAGUUUCUUCAUUUUGGUCUUCAGAUUUCCAGUAGGUUAAGCUAAUCAACUAUCAUAACUGGCUAGCUAGUUAUUGCCUGCCUUGUCGCCAUUACCGACGCCAUUACAUUGCAUGGCAUAGGGAAUAGUAACUAUGUGAUUAUUGGUGAUUUGUUGAGCUUAUUAUUGACCAAACAAACAUAUUCGCCUUUACCCACAACUUGGUUUGAUUAGUUACUGGACAAUAAAGAGCCUUAAUCUAUGCAUUGGCUUUCUUAUUUUUAUUUGGUUUUUCUUUCAACAAUAUUGUUGAUUUCUUAAUCAUUGGCUAUUUAAUGAAGCUAAUUAAAACUAAGGCUUCGGAUCACUUUCUUCUAACAACAAACAAAUGAGGAUAACCUAUCUCCUCUAAGCAAAUUUUUCUAAUAUCCUUGAUUUGUUAGGACCUGGAGGCCUGAAAUCCUCUAGAUUUUUUUAGCAUUGCCAAUGUUCCUUUUAUUCUGAAAAGGAAAAAAAGGUUAUAUCGUUUAUACCCUAACAGUAAAAUGGCCUUUGACUUAACAUGCCUUCCUGAGGAUUUGCAAGAUUCACAAGCAGCCUAGCCACCCCCCAACGCAAAAAAAAUAAAAAAUAAUAAAAAUAUAAAAUAUAAAAUAUAAAAACCCAAAUAGGAAGACUUUGCAACAUUCACAACGUGGUUACAUUUAAGUUAUUAAUUGUGUGUGUGUGUACUAGUUAUAUGUUGAUAGUAUAGGAAGAAGUAUUUUAACAUGGAUGACUUAAAACUUAUUGCUCAGUAAACAUAGUCUGCAUCAGUGCUAGAAAAUGUAUUCAUUGUUUGUAUUUUUUAUGGUUUUGAUUAAGAAAUGAAAUGUGAAAAAAUGCUACAUUGUAUUAGGAAUAAAUUGAAGAGAUUUAUGAUAUUUAUGUGUUAUUCAAGUUUCAGAUUCAAUUUUAAACUUUUGAUACAUGCAUUGAAAGCUUAAACUCCUUUAAGAAGUUAUUGAUAGACACAUGUUUUAUUAGUGUCAUCUUUGGAUGAUAGUGAGGAUCUUAUGUCUAUUAAUAAUUCUUGAAUUAUCCAGGCUCGGACAUUUUGGUAAUGCAUAGUUUUCUAUGGUAACUAGUACCUGAAAUUUUUUUCCCACAAAAAAUGGGCUUUUCAGUAGCUGCUCCUCAUAUUCUGGGUGCAUACUAGACGAAUGGGUGUCGUUUUGUUUUGGGAUAACACAUAAACACUCAUAUAUCUAUGUCAUGUACUUGAAGAACUAUAGGGAGAUGCUUCCGAAAUUUCUAUAAACGUAGAGGAAAACUUUAGAUACUUAAGGUUGAAGAAACUUAUGCAUUCUUGAGUGGGAUAUAGAGGACCACUUACCUUUUGUAAUAUGAAGGGAAUGUUGGAUAUAUUGAUGGGAGUGGAUGAGCUGAGUGGGAUGAAUGUAAACGGUUAUGAUUUUGCUGAGUUGACUUGGUUUUGAGUCUUGUAAUUUUGUUUAUAAAUGGAGUACUAUCUCCAAUGUUGGUUUAUAAAUAUGUUUCAGCUGGCUGACCUAAUUUUUUAUUUCUAGGUAACAGGCUUUAUAUAUUCGUAAUUGAUAGCCAAGUGAAGUUCUCAGCAGUGGGUGAGGAUAUUUCUUUACAGAAGGUAUUGGAAACUGUUUUUCACAUUAAUUAGUAUUGUAUACAUACUUUAAUUUCACAUCUUUUUCUCUGAUUCUUGUGGCUUUGCUUGCUUUCAUAUAUAUAAACAUUCUAAUGAGAUUAACAUAAAAUUGUAUAAUGAUUUUUUUUAAUUAUAAAUUGCGCGCACACGAAAAUAUCUUGUUUAGUAGUAGAAAUGAAGAACUAAAAUGAUUUAUUUAACUAAUUUUUCUAGUGCAUUAAAAGGAGAUAGUCAUGGACAAGAGUUGGGUUGGUUUGCCAAAUAGAUAUCCAAGUCAUAUACUGAUGGGGUUGAAAAAUUUAUAGAUUUUGCAUUUGAGAAUGUUGUUGGUGAUAAAAGAAUUUAUUGUCCUUGUAAGAAGUGUCGUAAUAUCGAUAUUUCAUUAUAAGGGAAGUGGCAAGAGACCAUAUCAUUACAAAUGGCUUUUGGUUAAAGUAUUGAAACUGGAUAUUGCAGGGUGAGCCAUCUUCAUCUUUGAAAUCUAACUAAGAAACAGGUUAGUCAUGACUCGGGUGCUGAUGAUAGUAUGGUUGGAGUGAUACACGAUGCAUCACAUAAUCAAGUGUUCAAGUUACACGCAGCAUUGUUAUGUUAUGGACUAUCAGUGACUUUCUAACAUAUGCCAACUUGUUUGGGUAGAGUAUUAAAGGUAAAUAAGCAUUUCUUGUUUGCCAACAAAACACUAGUUCUAAUUGGUUGAUACAUAAUAGAAAAUUUUGUUACUGGGUUACCGUCGAUUCUUACCAACGAAUCAUAGGUUUCGCAAAUAUAGUGUCUUUUGAUAAAACUAGGGGGUAGGGAUAAACGCCUUCUCGGUUGUCUUGAACUGACGUGAAAAAGCAGGUGAAUAAUAUAUUUACUAAGUAUAAGAUUGAAGACCUGAAAAGAGGAGAAUGAAUAAAAUGAAAGAAAUGAUAAGAUUACUUGGAAGAAGAAAAGCAUUUUUUAUGAACUAACGUAUUGGGAGUUCAACUUGAUUCAUCAUAAUCUUGAUGUCAUGCAUAUGAUCUACUUUCUUUCAUUUUCUCACCUCCCAAACAUCCAUUAUACAAUAAAGUUUUUUUAGAUUUUAUUGUUUCAUAGAAUUAUAUUUUGCAUAUGAUGAAAUAACUUAACAUUUUAGUAUUCAUUUGCAUAUAAUAAUUAUAAGUAAGAAAAAAUAAUUGCUUACAAUUACUACUAGUUUUAUUGUCGUGAUUACAAAUAAAUUGCUCAAAUUUUCUGCUUCAGCUAUCAAACCUUUUAGCUGCUUCCAGACAUGAAGAAAUUAAACCCAUAAUUUCUAGGUACAAUUGCAUUCGUAUAUGCCAUGAUACAUAUGAUAUGAUUAGAACCAAAAGGAGAAAUAAAUUUUUGGGACUUAUUGUGAUGGUGAUUAAUCUUUUUCUACCUUAACUUUGAUAAGGUUAUAAUUAAAUUUUAUAUGAUUAAAGUGGUCAAUGGUUAAAUAAAUAAAUAAAUAAAAUAGAUGAGGAUGGACUAAUGAAAUGACCCACCCCCGAACUCCACAAGGUGAGUCUAUGUAAUAUCGUCUUACUUGACUGAUAAUAAUCUAAUUAGUAAGGAUUUUACCGAAAAUUUGAUAGAGUCUCCACUUUGAAUAUAACAUUUCCAACCUGCAAAUGUGUAAAACAAGCACUCUCAAAAUAAAUCAGUAUACAACCAACUUCAUUGAUUAACCUCCUCAACUAUAUUACUGAAUAUUACCCAAAAUAUCUACAAAGUAUCAAAAGAUUAUUUAUACCUACUGUUGACAUAUAUUAAGCUAUUUUUAAUCACAAAAAAUAUUACAAAAUUAUAUAAUCCAAAAAAAAAAGAAAUCAAAAUGCCCUGACAAUAUAAUCUAUAUCUCCUAGUACCAUCACAUGGCCAAAAUUCAAAAUACUAUAGUUGCUAAGUCAACUGGUGUCUUGCAACCUCCUGAGGGGUGGGAGGGAAUUAUAAUAAAACGGGUGAGUAUAAAACUCAGUGAGCUCGGUGAGUGGAUAAUAGUUUUUGAAAAUAACUUACCAUAAAUAAUUAUACCACUUUUAUAUAUGAUUUUAUCAAACUGUAUGUAAGAAACAUGAAUAAAUUAUUUAACCUUUGAAUCAAGUAAUUGACAUUGAAAAGAAUACAUUAAGAGGUGCAUAAUAAUCAUGGAAAUUGUAUCACAAUAUAAAAUACAUGAUUAUGAAAUUAUCACAAAACAAGUACCUAAGGGAAUAAUCUUGUCGUACCUAGAGCUCAUACGGGCAAUGCAAUGACAUAUUCUCUAGGUACUGUCAUCCUCGGAGCUAGCACCGGUAGAUCAAUGAAGUGUCAUCUUAUAUAUCUUAUCAUAUCUUUGCAUGCAUAAACUAGUCCCCAAAAGACAAAGGUGCCCAAUCACAUAAUCCAAGGCCUCUGUGAGCCCCAAAGGCCCCUAUCUCGUCUGUAUAUUAGUAACUGAAUCUUUGUUAUCAUCAUAUUUCAUGCAUAAGCGUUCAAAAGGCAAAAGUGCCCAACUAGACGGCCCAAAGCCUCUCUGUGUGUUCAGACGGGCCCCAAAGUCCUCUCAUCUCAUCUGUAUAAUUGUAAUUGGAGGGGAAGGGCAUUGUUCAACGAGUUUGAGAACAAACUUAUAUAUAUACACACAUAAACAUUUUAAUCAUACUUUAAACUCUUAUUUCCUUUUCAUUACAUACUUUAAAUUUGAUUUUCUUUUCUUUAUAUUACUCUCAUGUAUAUACUCAAAAUCGAUAAUAAAACCAAUAAUCAUACUUUUUAAUAAUAAAUAUCAAUACUUAAAUAAAACCUAUUUCUAGAAAAUCAUUAGAUCGGAGCAUUAAACACUUAUUUCCCAAACAUGCUUUACUAUACUUUAAAAUCAUAAUAAAAUAUGAAAAAUAGGUUUUGCCUAUUUCACUCACCGUGACGAUAUUCAAACUCGGCUAUCAUUAAUGUCUGUAGGAUGGUUCUCACUCACUAUUCCCCCUAAAUCAAGGAUACGACAUAAUUACUUUCCAUAAAUGUGAAAUACAACUAACUGUAUGUAAUAUACUCGAAACGAACAUCUAUCCACAAUAUGCUACUCCUAUGUCUGUAACGUUACCAAAAAUACCCCCAAAAUCAUAAAUUGUCAAACAACCCUCAAAAUCAUAAAUUACCAAACUAUCCUCUAUAAAAUAUUAUUAAAAUAUCCACAAAGUCAGAAAUUAAAAAAUUACCAUCAAAAUAUAAAAUUAUCAAAAUGCCCUCGUCGGUCAAUGGUGAUCGGGAGUCAAGUGAUGGUGGUUGGAAUGGCCAAGAUAAAUGCUUUGGACCACGCUGAAUUUAAUGGUGGCAAAUUGACCAUUUCUGGUGACAUGGGUGAUUAAAAAUUGUAGAGGGUGUCGUGAGGGAGAAAACUAAGCAGUAGUGUGCCACAAGUUCGACGAAAUCUCAUCAAAUCGAGGUGGUAGUACCACAGCUCUUCACAUUCUUGAUCGGUGGUCUUUUAGCAGUUAUUUAGUGACCAUGAUGGUUAGGGAAUGACUAGCAUUGGUUGAGGAUUCGAUCGAUACCUUCUGUUGUCGAUAGAGUGGCCGAAAAUAGUAGUUAGCAGUGGGUGGGGUUUCAAUUCUAUCAGUUAGGUUGAUAGCUCUUCCUCUCUUUGUUUUUCUCUUUCCCUCGAUUCCGUGUCAUAACAAGUUUAAACUAGUUCAAACUCGAACCAUUUAACAAGCGUGUCAAAUUUAACAACCCACACUCAUUUAUUCAUGUUGAGUAAUUGAGUCGUAUCAAAUCUGCCAAUAACAAUUAUAAUAAUGACUUCUAAAACUUCAAGUCAAAGAGGAGGAUAAAAUAAUGCACUUGAUUAAACAUAAAAUGCAUAUGUUACAACUAAUCACUAUUCAAAAUAUUAAGAGUGGAGUAGCAAAUGUCAAUUUAUUUGGUUGCAAUCAAAUUUAUCCUAUGAUAAAUAGUGAUUAUUAAAUAAUAUAUAGAUCUAUUAUAUAGUAAAUUAAUAAUAUAUAUUAAUGAAAAUUUAAAAAUAAAUUAUUUAAAAAAGUCAAACUAGGUAAUGGACUUAAAUGUGAAAAUUUAAAAUAAUUUGGAGUUAUGUGUCAAAAUAUUGAAACUUUGUCAUUUUUUAAUGUGCAAGCAAAUAAUAGGGACUAUAGACUUAAUAAACUAUUAAAUCCAUCUAAGCCACUAAGCUACGUUUAUGUUAAAUCUAAUGGUUAGUAAUAGCUAAUAAGAAAAGGACAAAAAUUGGGGAAUGAUGUCACAGGGACACCAUAGUCGGACCCAUUAUUAAUGUUUAGUGCAAGUAUUUUCUGAAAUAACAACUACAUAAUUAUUAUCUUAUGUAUCUAAUGAGAUUAUUAAUUUAGUAUAUUGGCCCAAGUUAGAAACGUAAGAUUUUGUUAUUUAAUCAAGUAUAUUAAUUUAUAAAACAUUCAUUUAUUGAGAUUUUAUUGUACAUUACAUUUGCACACUUUAUUUUUAAUGUGAAGUAAAAACUAAUGUUACAUAUGAACUUAUUGCUGACAACAUUAGUACAUAAUUGCUGUCAUAAGAAAAUUUAUCAAUCCAGGAAUUUUGGAUUUUAUAAAGUCUUACAAGUGAAAAGAGUAGUUUAUAACAUUGUAAAUGUGACCUCGACCUGGAAGCGAACUCGGCUGUCAUAAAUUGAUCAAAGCCACACUUAACUUCUACUACUACUUGCAUUGUUACCACCGUCUUCAGCCUUCUGCUUUGCCCAUUCAGAAAAAAAAAAAAAAAUUAUAUAACUUUUGUCAGCCAACAAUUAUAAUAAACUAAAAACAUGUCCAAAGAUUCAAAAUUUUUUUUUUCCCUUUUUUUGGUUUUACCUCCUCUGACAUAUCAAAUCCUAUUGCCGUGAAAAGUUUCCCUUGCAGCACAUAAUUUUGCCACAGCAUCUCUCAUCUCCAUUCGCUCAGUUGGAGACUCCAUUGAGCAGGAAACCCCAAUUCCAAUUACAGCAGACAAGCAUUGCUCAGUCCUGACUCUUAUCUCUCCAUCACUAUUUCUUGCAAUUUCCUCAGUUAGAAGUGAAGGCUCAACAAUAUUCACCACUUCUUCUGGCAAAGCCCUUUUGGCAAAUUCAUGGAGGGUUAAGCCAUCAUUGAACAUGCUGUCCGUGGGCCGCUUUCCUGUGAACAUUUCUAGCAAAAGAAUUCCGAAGCUGUACACAUCACCUCGCAUGGAGACUUCGCCACCCGUACCGUACUCUGAAAAAAACAUGUUAGAUAUAUUACUCAGUUAGUUGCCAC
Molecule: long non-coding RNA, 8680 nt
Filed under: Citrus maxima (pomelo)
Lineage: Eukaryota; Viridiplantae; Streptophyta; Magnoliopsida; Sapindales; Rutaceae
Description: long non-coding RNA (CMAX_LNC000335)
Source: RNAcentral